RNAcentral lists this ribosomal RNA (305 nucleotides) under uncultured bacterium. RNAcentral describes it as "bacterial SSU rRNA". It matches the Rfam family "Bacterial small subunit ribosomal RNA", at positions 333 to 652 of the family's 1533-position model. The record is from RNAcentral.
GGCGGCCUACGGGGGGCAGCAGUGGGGAAUAUUGCACAAUGGGGGAAACCCUGAUGCAGUGACGCCGCGUGAGCGAAGAAGUAUUUCGGUAUGUAAAGCUCUAUCAGCAGGGAAGAAAGCAAUGACGGUACCUGACCAAGAAGCCCCGGCUAACUACGUGGCAGCAGCCGCGGUAAUACGUAGGGGGCAAGCGUUAUCCGGAAUUACUGGGUGUAAAGGGAGCGUAGACGGCUGUGCAAGUCUGGAGUGAAAGGCGGGGGCCCAACCCCCGGACUGCUCUGGAAACUGUAUGGCUGGAGUGCAGG